Molecule: non-coding RNA, 119 nt
Organism: Spinacia oleracea (spinach)
Lineage: Eukaryota; Viridiplantae; Streptophyta; Magnoliopsida; Caryophyllales; Amaranthaceae
Source: Rfam
GGGUGCGAUCAUACCAGCACUAAUGCACCGGAUCCCAUCAGAACUCCGCAGUUAAGCGUGCUUGGGCGAGAGUAGUACUAGGAUGGGUGACCUCCAGGGAAGUCCUCGUGUUGCACCCC